UGCGCAGGUGGGGGUGUAAGUCAGUGGUGAAAUCCAACAGCUUAACUGUUGAACUGCCCUUGAUACUGUUAGUCUUGAAUUAUAUGGAAGUAGAUAGAAUGUGUAGUGUAGCGGUGAAAUGCUUAGAGAUUACACAGAAUACCGAUUGCGAAGGCAGUCUACUACGUAUAUAUUGACGCUAAUGGACGAAAGCGUGGGGAGCGAACAGGAUUAGAUACCCUGGUAGUCC
This 229-nucleotide ribosomal RNA is filed under the name uncultured bacterium. Its description in RNAcentral is "partial 16S ribosomal RNA". It matches the Rfam family "Bacterial small subunit ribosomal RNA", at positions 568 to 796 of the family's 1533-position model. The record is from RNAcentral.